AACGAACGCUGGCGGCAUGCCUAACACAUGCAAGUCGAACGAUGCCUUCGGGCAUAGUGGCGCACGGGUGCGUAACGCGUGGGAAUCUGCCCUUGGCUUCGGAAUAACAGUUAGAAAUGACUGCUAAUACCGGAUGAUGUCCCCCUGAGAGAUCUUGGGGACCAAAGAUUUAUCGGCCAGGGAUGAGCCCGCGUAGGAUUAGGUAGUUGGUGGGGUAAAGGCCUACCAAGCCGACGAUCCUUAGCUGGUCUGAGAGGAUGAUCAGCCACACUGGGACUGAGACACGGCCCAGACUCCUACGGGAGGCAGCAGUGGGGAAUAUUGGACAAUGGGGGGAAACCUGAUCCAGCAAUGCCGCGUGAGUGAUGAAGGCCUUAGGGUUGUAAAGCUCUUUUACCAGGGAUGAUAAUGACAGUACCUGGAGAAUAAGCUCCGGCUAACUCCGUG
RNAcentral lists this ribosomal RNA (447 nucleotides) under uncultured bacterium. RNAcentral describes it as "partial 16S ribosomal RNA". It matches the Rfam family "Bacterial small subunit ribosomal RNA", at positions 29 to 507 of the family's 1533-position model. The record is from RNAcentral.